This 45-nucleotide non-coding RNA is filed under the name Trichobilharzia regenti. Lineage: Eukaryota; Metazoa; Platyhelminthes; Trematoda; Strigeidida; Schistosomatidae. The record is from RNAcentral.
GUGCAGAUGACGAGUCCCAAAUAGGACGAAAUGCACUUCCAGAAU